Xiphophorus couchianus (Monterrey platyfish) is the source of this 668-nucleotide long non-coding RNA. RefSeq lists it as uncharacterized. The record is from RefSeq and is a predicted model, not a curated record. NCBI's taxonomy places the organism in Eukaryota, Metazoa, Chordata, Actinopteri, Cyprinodontiformes, Poeciliidae. The transcript is spliced from 3 exons.
CAGGAACUGGUUAUGGUCUGACAGCGCCACUUGCUGCUGGGGAGGCGGAACUACAUUAUAAUUAUAAUGGGUCAAUACAUACUGAUAGUUUAAAGAAACUUUACAAUAUAAAGAAACAUACAAAGAACAUCUUUAUUACCUACACAAGACACCUACAGUAAGUCCCUAAGUUCCUGUUAAAAGAGGGAACUAACCUCCAGGUUUGAUCUCUGUUAGUUCAGGUCACUUCUCUGGAACCAGUCGCUUUAAAGCUCAUAACUCUGACAUCAAUCCAGUUAAAUAGAUUCUGGAUUAUUGCAGCAAUCCAGAUUUCACAAACUGCUGCUCCACUUUUCAUCUUCCUGCAGACUAGUCAUAGUUACCAAAGUUACUAAGCACUUUGUAAUGUAUAAAAUUAUCUUUACCUUUUACCUUUAUAGUUCAAACUGAUGACUUCCUGUCUUUGCAGUCACAUGACCAGCUGAGCGCUUCAGCUGCAGAGGACUGGUCAGCCCUAAAGCAUCGCUGAGAUGUUCAGAAGUUCUACAUUGAUCCCAAAGUCAUCAAUAAAUGAAAGUUUGUGUUUCAGUGGUUCUGGAGUCUCCUGGGCCCUUGGACCGGUCCAGACCUGGGUCCACCAGAGCCAAGGAGUUGGUUCUGGACUGAACCGGACCAACAGUAAAGCACAC